RNAcentral lists this ribosomal RNA (480 nucleotides) under uncultured bacterium. RNAcentral describes it as "bacterial SSU rRNA". It matches the Rfam family "Bacterial small subunit ribosomal RNA", at positions 29 to 506 of the family's 1533-position model. The record is from RNAcentral.
UUGAACGCUGGCGGAAUGCUUUACACAUGCAAGUCGAGCGGCAGCGCGGGGCAACCUGGCGGCGAGCGGCGAACGGGUGAGUAAUAUAUCGGAACGUACCCUGUCGUGGGGGAUAACACAUCGAAAGAUGUGCUAAUACCGCAUACGACCUGAGGGUGAAAGCGGGGGAUCGCAAGACCUCGCGCGAUAGGAGCGGCCGAUGUCAGAUUAGGUAGUUGGUGGGGUAAAGGCUCACCAAGCCGACGAUCUGUAGCUGGUCUGAGAGGACGACCAGCCACACUGGGACUGAGACACGGCCCAGACUCCUACGGGAGGCAGCAGUGGGGAAUUUUGGACAAUGGGGGCAACCCUGAUCCAGCCAUGCCGCGUGCGGGAAGAAGGCCUUCGGGUUGUAAACCGCUUUCGGACGGAAAGAAAUCGCAUGGACUAAUACUCUGUGUGGAUGACGGUACCGUAAGAAGAAGCACCGGCUAACUACGU